GGGGGCGUGGCGCAACUGGUAGCGCACCUGCUUUGCAAGCAGGGGGUUACGGGUUCGAGUCCCGUCGUCUCCA
RNAcentral lists this transfer RNA (73 nucleotides) under Quadrisphaera sp. DSM 44207. It matches the Rfam family "tRNA". Rfam says of the family: Transfer RNA (tRNA) molecules are approximately 80 nucleotides in length. Their secondary structure includes four short double-helical elements and three loops (D, anti-codon, and T loops). Lineage: Bacteria; Bacillati; Actinomycetota; Actinomycetes; Kineosporiales; Kineosporiaceae. The record is from Rfam by way of RNAcentral.